AACGAACGCUGGCGGCAUGCCUAACACAUGCAAGUCGAACGAGACCUUCGGGUCUAGUGGCGCACGGGUGCGUAACGCGUGGGAACCUGCCCUUAGGUUCGGAAUAACUCCCCGAAAGGGGUGCUAAUACCGGAUAAUGUCUUCGGACCAAAGAUUUAUCGCCUUUGGAUGGGCCCGCGUUGGAUUAGCUAGUUGGUAGGGUAAAAGCCUACCAAGGCGACGAUCCAUAGCUGGUCUGAAAGGAUGAUCAGCCACACUGGGACUGAGACACGGCCCAGACUCCUACGGGAGGCAGCAGUGGGGAAUAUUGGACAAUGGGCGAAAGCCUGAUCCAGCAAUGCCGCGUGAGUGAUGAGGGCCUUAGGGUUGUAAAGCUCUUUUACCCGGGAUGAUAAUGACAGUACCGGGAGAAUAAGCUCCGGCUAACUCCGUG
Molecule: ribosomal RNA, 433 nt
Filed under: uncultured bacterium
Lineage: Bacteria
Description: partial 16S ribosomal RNA
Rfam family: Bacterial small subunit ribosomal RNA
Source: RNAcentral